Molecule: ribosomal RNA, 410 nt
Filed under: uncultured bacterium
Lineage: Bacteria
Also listed under: 1 other name
Description: bacterial SSU rRNA
Rfam family: Bacterial small subunit ribosomal RNA
Source: RNAcentral
GGGGGCACGGGGGGAGGAAAGCAGGGGAUCGCAAGACCUCUCACUAUUGGAGGCGCCGAUGUCUGAUUAGCUAGUUGGCGGGGUAAAAGCCCACCAAGGCGACGAUCAGUAGCUGGUUUGAGAGAACGACCAGCCACACUGGGACUGAGACACGGCCCAGACUCCUACGGGAGGCAGCAGUGGGGAAUUUUGGACAAUGGGGGCAACCCUGAUCCAGCCAUGCCGCGUGCGGGAAGAAGGCCUUCGGGUUGUAAACCGCUUUUGUCAGGGAAGAAAUGGACCUUUCUAAUACAUGGGUUCGAUGACGGUACCUGGAGAAUAAGCACCGGCUAACUACGUGCCAGCAGCCGCGGUAAUACGUAGGGUGCGAGCGUUAAUCGGAAUUACUGGGCGUAAAGCGUGCGCAGGCG